GCAAUCUAUCCUGUUGCGGGGGACAACGAGGGGAAACCUUCGCUAAUACCGCAUGGUCGGGAGACUCGAUGGGUCUUCCGGGAAACGUGGCCUCUUUACAAUGCUACGGUGGCAGGAGGAGCUCGCGGGCUAUCAGCUAGUUGGUGAGGUAACGGCUCACCAAGGCGACGACGGCUACGGGGUCUGAGAGGACGACCCCGCACAUUGGAACUGAGACACGGUCCAGACUCCUACGGGAGGCAGCAGUGGGGAAUAUUGGGCAAUGGCCGAAAGGCUGACCCAGCGACGCCGCGUGUGGGAGGAAGCCCUUCGGGGUGUAAACCACUGUCAGGAGGGACGAAAGAGCGCAUGGUGAAUAAUCAUGGGCAGUGACGGUACCUUCAAAGGAAGCACCGGCUAACUCUGUGCCAGCAGCCGCGGUAAUACAGAGGGUGCAAGCGUUGUUCGGAAUUACUGGGCGUAAAGCGCGCGCAGGCGGGUCCUGUAAGUCGGAAGUGAAAUUUCACG
This 507-nucleotide ribosomal RNA is filed under the name uncultured Anaeromyxobacter sp. RNAcentral describes it as "bacterial SSU rRNA". It matches the Rfam family "Bacterial small subunit ribosomal RNA", at positions 121 to 606 of the family's 1533-position model. Lineage: Bacteria; Pseudomonadati; Myxococcota; Myxococcia; Myxococcales; Anaeromyxobacteraceae. The record is from RNAcentral.